CCGCUGCUACCGCCUCUUGUGUUCCUGUUCUGUCUUUCAUCCCUUUCGUCGCCACCACCGCGACCCCCACAUACUCAAUAUUCUUCUUCUUGCUCAAUAUUUUUUCCCCUCAAUGGAGGCCAAGGAAAGAGAGAUCAUUCUUUGCUAGGAAUCAUCCUUAUUAUGUCCUUAUUACAUGGAUUUUAUCUCGGUCCCAUCUUUUUGCCAUAUCUUUCCUUCCAUUGAUCCACUGUUGUCCUUUUUUCCCUGCUAAAAGUUCUGGGAUGGAGUUUUCAUUAGCUAGGGUUUAUUUACAACAACGAAUCUUGGAAGCUUUUCCCUUUUAAUUUCCUGUUCUUGACAGUAUGCCGGACCGUAGUUCUUCCUUUUUUUUGUUUUUUGUUGCUCUUGUUCAUUUUUUUGGCAAAUUGUUGUUUGAAUUUUCAGAGGGCCAAAUAUUUCGAGCUAGAAGGUCUGUCGAAUGAUCUGCAAGCAGCUGCGCACAGUCGUUGUUUGCGGGUGCAGCAUCAUCAAGAUUCACACAUGAUUUCACGGCAUAGACAUGAAUUUCGCUGACAGAGGUUCAGUAUUGAGAAUCUUGAUGAUGCUGCAUCAGCAAUCCAUGACUAGUUUUCCAUUAUCCACAGCCUUAGGUUAAUUUAUUGAGCGUUUCAAGAGGUGUAUCCAUGUGUAACUUCAGGGUCUUUUCUUCACCUCUGGAUAUAAAAGGCCUUAUUGGGCUGUAACUAUGUGCUUAUAUAUAUUUUUGUUCCUUUUGUCAUUUUCAAGUGAUUAAUUGAAUUAGUGCGAUGUUUUGUACAUUCACUAAUUAAUCGCAGCAAUGCCACAGCAGGUAGCAUGUGUAUACACAGAAGGAGGAUGUGCUCAGCCGUCAAGUGAUACUGAAGUUUCUUUGGCAUAAAAGGUCAGAUACUUACUAUCCUCUAAAAUCUGUGAGCAGUACCAUAGAUUAAUUAACCCAUGUUGCACAUAAUCUGUCCGACAAAUUCAGUGCCUUGGCAAAAUUUCGGCUUUUAUAUUGUAUGCAUAUAUGAGAUGAGAAAAAUGCAGUUUUGAUCGCUCGAUUACUGAUUUUAGGAUCUGCAACUGCAAGUGGUUGAAGCAUGGACCAAAUUGUGUUUAGAAUUGCAAGAUAACAUGAUCAUCAUCUUGAUUAAAUUCGAUUGGGUUGUUCCACCACAUAUUAUUAGGUGGAGCCAUUCCAUAUGAUGCUUCAUGCCUUCCUAUUGCCGGCAACGUUUGUUGAGCACAUCAAAAGCCUGUUCGAAACAAGAUUGGUUUUGCUAGGGGAUGGGAUUUGAAUGAUCUCACACAAGUAGCUCAACUUAUAGGAACUUGGAUAGAAUUUUUGUAUUUUGGAAUUGAAAUAUCUUCACAAUUGGAUGGGUUUAAUCUUUAAUGAAGAAAACUUAUUUCUUUUGCCUCAAGCUUUGCAGCUGCCGACUUCUAUAUCUUUAAAUCAAUGUCAACUGUGGUAGCAUGCUAUCACAUAGACAAUACGCAGCAACUGUCUUCUACAUAGAUAAAGGAGGAUCAGAAAAAUGACGGUUCCAAGAAACAAAUAUAAGAUGUAAUAUGGCAUCUUUUGGGAGGCACUAGGUUUUGUGAAGGGGGGAAAGAAGGAGAAGAAGAAGAAGAAGAAGAAGAAGAAGAAAGGGGGAAGAAGAAAAGUCCUCCCUUUGUGGCAAUUGACAGAUGAAAUUUUCCCCCUUGCUUGAGGUCCACACUUCACAUGGUGGGAAGGAGGAAAAAAGCAAUAAUGGAGUACAAUAGAGAGAUCGCACCAGAGAAUUAGUGUAAGACAGGAAGAUAUUUUUUCUGUGUACUUUCGGAAAUUAUGCGUGCGGAUUUUUGCGGACACUAUGAUUCUCGAAGCCUUUUGUGGAUUUGUUGUUACUUCUUUGUAUGUCACCGAUCCUCCUAAAAUGAGUUCACGCGGCGGUGGUGCGUUCCUAUAUACGAUUUGAAAAA
Long non-coding RNA from Rhodamnia argentea, 1971 nucleotides. RefSeq lists it as uncharacterized. The record is from RefSeq and is a predicted model, not a curated record. The transcript is spliced from 2 exons. Lineage: Eukaryota; Viridiplantae; Streptophyta; Magnoliopsida; Myrtales; Myrtaceae.